This 253-nucleotide ribosomal RNA is filed under the name uncultured bacterium. RNAcentral's name for it is "partial 16S ribosomal RNA". It matches the Rfam family "Bacterial small subunit ribosomal RNA", at positions 524 to 776 of the family's 1533-position model. The record is from RNAcentral.
UACGUAGGUGGCAAGCGUUAUCCGGAAUUAUUGGGCGUAAAGCGCGCGCAGGCGGUUUCUUAAGUCUGAUGUGAAAGCCCACGGCUCAACCGUGGAGGGUCAUUGGAAACUGGGGAACUUGAGUGCAGAAGAGAAAAGCGGAAUUCCACGUGUAGCGGUGAAAUGCGUAGAGAUGUGGAGGAACACCAGAGGCGAAGGCGGCGCCCUGGCUCGCAACUGACGCUCAGACACGACAGCAUGGGGAGCGAACGGG